This 490-nucleotide ribosomal RNA is filed under the name uncultured bacterium. RNAcentral's name for it is "partial 16S ribosomal RNA". It matches the Rfam family "Bacterial small subunit ribosomal RNA", at positions 28 to 507 of the family's 1533-position model. The record is from RNAcentral.
GAUGAACGCUAGCUACAGGCUUAACACAUGCAAGUCGCGGGGCAGCAUGGGGGUUGCUUGCCAUCCCCGAUGGCGACCGGCGCACGGGUGAGUAACGCGUAUCCAACCUGCCCUUCGCCACGGGAUAACCCGGCGAAAGUCGGACUAAUACCGUAUGUUGUCCAUUGACGGCAUCCGAUUUGGACGAAAGGCUUGGCGGUGAGGGAUGGGGAUGCGUCCGAUUAGCCAGACGGCGGGGUAACGGCCCACCGUGGCUACGAUCGGUAGGGGUUCUGAGAGGAAGGUCCCCCACACUGGAACUGAGACACGGUCCAGACUCCUACGGGAGGCAGCAGUGAGGAAUAUUGGUCAAUGGGCGUAAGCCUGAACCAGCCAAGUAGCGUGCAGGAUGACGGCCCUAUGGGUUGUAAACUGCUUUUAUGCGGGGAUAAAGUGGCCCACGGGUGGGCUUUUGCAGGUACCGCAUGAAUAAGGACCGGCUAAUUCCGUG